Molecule: non-coding RNA, 57 nt
Organism: Biomphalaria glabrata
Lineage: Eukaryota; Metazoa; Mollusca; Gastropoda; Planorbidae
Source: Rfam
UGGCUGAGUAGUAAAGCACUAGGCUUCCGAACUGGGGGUCCCGGGUUCGAAUCCUGG